Molecule: ribosomal RNA, 357 nt
Filed under: uncultured bacterium
Lineage: Bacteria
Description: bacterial SSU rRNA
Rfam family: Bacterial small subunit ribosomal RNA
Source: RNAcentral
ACUCCUACGGGAGGCAGCAGUGGGGAAUAUUGCACAAUGGGCGCAAGCCUGAUGCAGCCAUGCCGCGUGUAUGAAGAAGGCCUUCGGGUUGUAAAGUACUUUCAGCAGUGAGGAAGGUGGGUAUGUUAAUAGCAUAUUCUAUUUGUACGUUAGCUGCAGAAGAAGCACCGGCUAACUCCGUGCCAGCAGCCGCGGUAAUACGGAGGGUGCGAGCGUUAAUCGGAAUUACUGGGCGUAAAGCGCAUGCAGGUGGUUUGUUAAGUCAGAUGUGAAAGCCCGGGGCUCAACCUCGGAAUUGCAUUUGAAACUGGCAAACUAGAGUACUGUAGAGGGGGUAGAAUUUCAGGUGUAGCGGUG